UUGGCCUCUCAAAGUGCUGGGAUUACAGGUGUGAGCCACUGUGUCCGGCCCUUAAAUUCUAUUUCUUAAAAAGAGUCCGUUCAAGAUUGAUGUUAUAGAUACUCCUCAACUUACAAUUGUUUUAUGUCUUAAUGAACUCAUCCUAAAUUGAAAAUAUUGUAAGUCUAAAACGCAUUUAAUAUAUUUAACCUACUGAAUAUCAUGACUUAGCCUCGCCUACCUUAAACUUGCUCAGAACACUUACAUUAUCCUACAAUUGGGCAAAAUCAUCUACCACAAGGCCCAUUUUAAAAUAUUGAGUAUCUCAUGAAAUUUAUUGAAAACUAUACUGAUAGUGAAAAACUGGUCAUAUUGAUGCUCAUCAUUAACGUACACAGAUGAAAGCACCAUUAUCAAGUAAGAAGAGCACAAGUCAAGCCACUGCUGGUGUGCAAUGGUGCGACUUCCGCUCACUACACUUCCACCUUCUGGGAUUCAAGCCAUUCUCCUGCCUCAGCCUCCGGAGUAGCUGGGACUACAGGCAUGUGCCACCAUGCCCGGCUAAUUUUUGUAUUUUUAGUAGAGGCAGGGAUUCACCACAUUGGUCAGGCUGGUCUCGAACUCCUGGCCUCAAGUGAUCUGCCCGCCUCUGCCUCCCAAAGUGCUGGGAAUACAGGCAUGAGCAACCGCACCCGGCCUGGAUUAAUUGAAAAUUUUCUUCUGUAGAUUGUAAUAUAUUACUAUUGUUAUCUAUUUUAUUGCCCCAAUUUUCUCAAAUUUGGCUAUGGAAGUUUAUUCAAAGUGGAUCUGUUUCCCUUUCACAUUUUCCCCAUUUUGUGAGCAUUUCCUUACUUCCUAACAUGACAAAAUAUUUCAAACUAAUCUUGUAUUUUCCCUGCCCAAUCCUGAUAUCAAAUAUGUCCCCAAGGAGCCUUGGUUCCUUUAAUUGGAGAGUGGUGUUCUCAUUGUUACUGGGAUGAUGUUGUUUCUAGGCCCUUUUGUUAGAGGAGCUAGAAAAUAUAUGUAUGUAUACUCACACAUUUAUACACAUCUGUACUUAUUUAUACAAUUAUCCAUCUGUACGUAUACUAAAAACAAUGAUUUCAUGAAGCUUUUGAUCCCAAUCCAACACUAGAUAAAGACUAUAUAGGCCCAUUUAUUUGCAAGUCAGCACAUAAACAUAGAAGAAUUAUUAACAAUAUAAGCUGUAGCUUAUGCUAAAUGUUGGUAGGAACAGACAAUAAGUUAUGGAGAACUUCAGAGGACACUAAGGUUGGAUGGGAUUUUGGAAGUUGUACAGGUCAAUGCCACUCCAUCUAUUGGCUGAGUUUCACUAGGUUAAUACAUGAACAACAACAAAAAUAACCUAGAUCAGAAGUUAAAGAUCAUUUUAUUGACUAUCUGCCGUGUCUGUGCCAUUGCAGUGUACUAGGUGCACUUACGAGUCCUCUACUUACAAACUGCUUUUCACAAAAUAUGAAACUCCAGGCAAAGGUUCAGACAUACGACGUUUGUUUUUAAAAUCUUUCUACAGCCUUGUAUCCUUUUUCCUUUCCUUCCUUUUACCCUUUUUAAAAUGUGUUAUGAGUUUUAUCUUAGACUAACAUCAUCUGAAAUGUUGCUAUACGCCAGUAUUCAGUUGCUGUGUUUGAUGAAUCAUAAAAUGGUGUAAAACUUCAAUUAGUGUACUUUUUAAAUAAAGUAUCUAUGAAUGCA
Molecule: long non-coding RNA, 1695 nt
Organism: Homo sapiens (human)
Lineage: Eukaryota; Metazoa; Chordata; Mammalia; Primates; Hominidae
Exons: 2
Source: RefSeq, a predicted model, not a curated record